RNAcentral lists this ribosomal RNA (208 nucleotides) under uncultured bacterium. RNAcentral describes it as "partial 16S ribosomal RNA". It matches the Rfam family "Bacterial small subunit ribosomal RNA", at positions 568 to 774 of the family's 1533-position model. The record is from RNAcentral.
UGCGUAGGCGGCUCUUUAAGUCGGAUGUGAAAUCCCCGAGCUUAACUUGGGAAUUGCAUUCGAUACUGGGAAGCUAGAGUAUGGGAGAGGAUGGUAGAAUUCCAGGUGUAGCGGUGAAAUGCGUAGAGAUCUGGAGGAAUACCGAUGGCGAAGGCAGCCAUCUGGCCUAAUACUGACGCUGAGGUACGAAAGCAGUGGGGAGCAAACA